Molecule: ribosomal RNA, 502 nt
Filed under: uncultured bacterium
Lineage: Bacteria
Description: partial 16S ribosomal RNA
Rfam family: Bacterial small subunit ribosomal RNA
Source: RNAcentral
AUUGAACGCUGGCGGCAAGCUUAACACAUGCAAGUCGAGCGGAGUGAUGGUGCUUGCACUAUCACUUAGCGGCGGACGGGUGAGUAAUGCUUAGGAAUCUGCCUAUUAGUGGGGGACAACAUCUCGAAAGGGAUGCUAAUACCGCAUACGUCCUACGGGAGAAAGCAGGGGAUCACUUGUGACCUUGCGCUAAUAGAUGAGCCUAAGUCGGAUGGCUAGGUGGUGGGGGAAAGGCCUACCAAGGCGACGAUCUGGAGCGGGUCUUAGAGGAUGAUCCGCCACACUGGGACUGGGACACGGCCCAGACUCCUACGGGAGGCAGCAGUGGGGAAUAUUGGACAAUGGGGGGAACCCUGAUCCAGCCAUGCCGCGUGUGUGAAGAAGGCCUUAUGGUUGUAAAGCACUUUAAGCGAGGAGGAGGCUCUUUUGGUUAAUACCCAAGAUGAGUGGACGUUACUCGCAGAAUAAGCACCGGCUAACUCUGUGCCAGCAGCCGCCGUAA